Molecule: non-coding RNA, 4930 nt
Organism: Vicugna pacos (alpaca)
Lineage: Eukaryota; Metazoa; Chordata; Mammalia; Artiodactyla; Camelidae
Source: RefSeq, a predicted model, not a curated record
GGAGAGCGCGACGGAGCGCCGCCUGAUUCUUCUGGCUCAGGGAAGCAGAGGAGGCAUGUGAGAGCCAGAGGAGGGACGAGCGGCCCAGAGUUAUCCUUUGAGCGCCGGGUCCGGGCCGCAGAGUUCAGGCAAGACAGAGCCCACACUGUAAACAGAGGCACUCCCCAGAGCCAGACAGCUGCACGAACUCAGGGAGGAAGAAGAAAAAACUGAUUUCACAGAGGUGCCAUGAGGUAAGAAGCCAUUCUUCCUAGAGUGAUCGCGUGUGCUUCCAGCUUCCUCAGCCUCAACCCUACUCUUAAUCAGACUCCAAGAUCAAUCUUGGCUGCAAACUUCACUGGUGAGCAGGGAGAAGCCGCCAGCAAUGGACAGCUCCACCUUUUCUCAUGGCUCAGCCUGUGGAGGACUUUGCUCUCUCAGACACGAAGAGAAAAGAGAACUUCAGGACAAGAGGAGGGGACAGUGGUCAGAAGCGCUGAGAAGCAAGAGAAGGCCACUCGAUGGGGUGGCCUCCAGCCCAGUGUCCGGACAGGAUCCCAGGAUCCGGAGCACCUGCCAGUCCUGAGGAGGGAUCCAGGCGGGCAGGGGCGGAGCUGAGCUGUCUGGGCCAGACUAGGUCACCAGAACAUGGUGCCCAGGGAACAUCAUCGUUGCCAAAGUCAGCUUACCUCCUCGCUGCCAGGUGAGUAAGGCCCAGAGAGGUGAAGCAACCUGCAGGCCAGAAGCAGGGACUUGGCCCACCAACGCCAGUGCUGGGUGCGCCACGCCUGCCACCAGCAAAAAGCCCCCUCUGGUCAGAAGCCCUGGUGAGAGACAGGUUCUGCCCCACGUGCGUGGGGUGAGUUUGGCUAAACUCACCCUCCCUGAGCCUCAGCUUUCUCCUGGUUCAGCAGGAGAACCCCCGUCCUCACCUCCCAGGGCAGUUGUGAGGAUCAGAGAAGAAAUGCGGGGAUCAGUUUCAUUGCUUUGAGAAAGUAAAGGCUUUAUCAUACCCUGUUUCUUGACUCAUGGGAGCUAAAAUGAUUCUGUAAAUCAAAUAUCUGGACUCAACCCCACUUAAGAUGGCCAAGGAAAGGGUCAGGAGGAACAACCCAGCCUCCUUUGGCCCCUUCUACCCACCUUGGCCUUGGCCCAGAGUUCUAGCUCCAGCCCCAACCCACUCCCCACUGCCCCCCAGUGCUCUGCCUCCCUUCUUACCCACUCCUUUCCCUGCUCCUGGGGCUUCCAGCCCCUGAACUCUGGCCCCUCAUUCUCCCCACCUUGCCUGACUCCUGUCCCAGUCUCCUCCCAGCCUGUGUCACUGUUCCCCACAGGGUCAAUCUAGAUGCUCAGCCGGUGACUGGGCAGGACAGACAGCUCCAAUCCGUGGCCUCCUCAUGCACCCCCUGAGCCAGGAACUCGGCUGGGCUGCCUUGUGGCUCUGGUCCAGGACCUGCUCAGGAGUGCAGUGGUCUCCACCUGGGAUGGAGCAGCCGAGGGCACUGGAGAAAAGAGAAAGAGGCAAUGCUGUGGGCAGGGGGAGGCAGUUAGUUCAGGAAUUCAUUCAUUCAUGUAUCAAUCCUUCCACUUACCGAAAGCCCAAACAUACCACGCACUAGGACUAUAGAGAUGAGUAAGACGUUGAUUAUAACCUGCAGGCACCAACUCAAAAUACGGUGAGGUGAGGGCAGUGCCAAAGAGAGGCCCUGGAUGCCAGGGGCCACCUAGUACAGGCUGGGGGAUGCAGCAGGGUCCUGAAGGUGUUGGGGGCAUUCAGCCAGGCUCUUCUCAGCUGGUUGGACCCUCCCCAGGGAUGCAGUCUUGUAGCUUAGGGAACUGGGGUGAAGAGACAAGGCAGGGUUUGAAUGGGUGGAGGUCGUUGGCACUCCUAGGCAGAGCUCAGACCAGUCUGCCCUGCCCUCACAUCUCUAAUUUCCAGUUCCCAUUCCCAGACCCCCGCCGGACCUUCUGGCCAUCCACCCACCCUCACCCUUGCUACACAUACACAUCUAGCAAUGACCUUGAUUUUCACUACUCUGUGCUCUCUCCAUAAGAUUGGAUUUCUUCUGAACAUUUCUGCUUUCCGCCAGUUCCCCUCACCUGGCAGCCCAGGUUAUGCUUUGUCACUUCCUGGGUCAGCAUAUCCUCCAAUGGUUUGAAGUCCCUGGAGAAGCAGACUGUGUGCUUAGACCCCUCCUUUUCUGUGACUAGUAGCUGGAAUAGUGGUGCCUCCUGCCAGCAGAGUUGGGCCAUGGGGCUGGCCUUGGCCACUGCCCCCAGUAGGAUCCCACCAAGGCCCUGGAGAAGGAGAAAGACAGAAAGAGGUGGGCAGGGCCAGGGGGACCUCCAGUGAAGGUGGAAAGAGGGUGCAUCUGAGGACUGGGAGGGCUGAGCCUGCCCUGAGAGGAUGAGGAGUGGAUGGUGCAGGGGCGGAGUGUCUUCCGGGGAGGCCAGAUGAAGAGGCGACACCCAGUGAUUCUCAGAGUUCCUCAUUUGUAUCCCCCCUCCACCCCCGUCCUCUAAAAAUGAAUGCUUUGGCUCCUUCCUCCCAAUCUCCAACUUGUCUUGGAGGGCCUUGGGGUUAAGGAGGUUAACAUGGCUGACAGGCGAUCCAGGCAGGAUGAUUAUAGGGUUGAGAACGUGGUGUGGGAGAGGAUGGUAAUUACACAGUAAGAUCCUCUCUGGGGGCUUCAGGAUUUGUGGGCAGAGACCUGGGAGGGGUCCGUUUCACCAACAUACUAUCCCCAGCCCAGAAUAGCCUCACCACACCACAUUCCCAGUGGCUCCUUCUGGGAGAGGAGGGGUGAGGGAAGCCCCUCCUGGGGAAGCCCCCACCCCAGCUUCCUCUCAAUGGUCCAGCCCUUCCCCUCCUUGGAAAGACCUGUGAUGCCAGGGAAUGAGUCCUCUGACUCUAGAAAUAGGCCUUUAGGAGGAAGAAGCAAGAAGAGCUGGGUUAGAGGUCAUGAGUUACUGCCCACUGAGCCCAGCUCCGAUAGACAAGGCAAUUUGGGUGUGCGAGUGGCCUUUGUGGUAGGAGUGCAGAAUAGCAAGAGUCCCUCCUCCUUAACGUGGUUCCCCUGUUCUGGGGUCAGCAGCUCUGAGAGUGGUCCAGGUGUCUCUGGCCUCGAACCUGGUGACCGGCUCCCAAGACCUACAGUUCCUCUUCCUGGGGAUGUAACAUAAGAAACCCUCUACCCAAGGCUACACAAGCACCUCUUUCCUCCAGCAGCUGAAACCUCAUCACUGCUUCUCUCCCGGCAGCUCAACACUCUUCAAAGCUCAGUGACUCCCUUAGCCCCAAACCCACAUUUGCUAUGAACCAGUCAGGACCUUGAAGAAGGCGGGCCGAAGGUUGCCUAGGUAACACCGCCAAGGGGCACCCCUGGCUGGAAGACAGUUGCCUGGGAAACCAGGGCAGUGGGCGGGGCCCCAAACCCCAGUUAGCCUGUGUUGGGAUGAGGAAAGAUCUAAAUGUUCACAUCUCUCCCAACUCCUUUUCUGUAAAGACAGCAGGGUCCCCUCCUCUGGACUGGGUCUACGGCAGCCGGAAAUCUGAAGCUCCUGAAAGAGACUCGCAGGGUUUACCUGCAACCCAAGGGAACCCAAUAGUACCAAGCCUGAGGCAACUCGAGGAAAGAGGCAAGAUCUAGGAGGGGUUGGAGACAGGAACAAAGCUUAAUAAAUUAUGGUACAGAACUUGGAAUAGAAAUCUAAAGUGGAAAUAUGCAAAGCAUGCCCCCCCCAAAAAAACCCCACCAAAAAAGUGGUUUUAGUCCCACGGCCAAGAAUCAGAAGCUCAAGAAUCCACCACCAGAUGGCAAUGUUGCCCACUCAUUGGAUUAAGUGCAGUCCUGGAACCCGCCGGGAGGAAGCCAGAAGAUGGAAAUCCUUUUUGUCACACAAGUUGUUCCUGACUCUUGCUCGCUGGUAUUUGGCAGAUACCCAUAACUUCUUAUGGUCAUAAAUACACAGUUUUAUUUCCCCAACCUGGCUCUGACCCGAUCCAGUUAGCAGACCUCAUUCUUUUUUUUAACUGGGUUUUUUUUGGCGGGAGGUUGGAUCUGUUUUACUUACUUAGUUACUUACUUAUUUAUAGAUGAGGCACUGGGGCUUGAACCCAGGACCUCUUGCGUGCUAAGCAUGUGCUCUAUCACUUGAGCUGUACCCUCCCCGGUUCACUCAUUCUUUACUCAAAGCAGCUAAGGAAUACUUUGCUAAAAAUAUUCCCACUCCCUUGGGUCUCACAGUGUGAGGCUGAUAAAUUGGGGUAGUAAUAAUGGCUGCUUAUCUCAUUUAAAACUGUGUGUCAGGCAGUUAAUCCUCAGAACCUUAUGAAGUAGGUACAGUAUUGUUAUCUUCAUCUUACAGAUGAGGCAUCUGAGGCCUAGAGCCAAGUUCACAUAGCCAGAAAAGGGGCAGAGCUAGGACUUGAACCCAGGCAGCCGAGGUUGAGUCUAGAAGCUGUGUGACUAACCUCUGUGAGACACAGGAUGGUGCAGAUGUAGCUAGGAGAAGCAUCUACUCUAGACCUGGGAGUCAGGAAUGGACUCCUGGACAGCAUGUCUAAAAUCUCAUCUAUACUGAGACCUGAAAAAAGAGUAAAUUGGGGGAGGGGGCAGUGGCAGGAGGAGGCGGAGUUGUCCUUGGAAGAGGAAACAAUUUGUGCAAAGAUGCAGAGAUAAUCAAGAGAAAGAGGGUGGAGGUGACAUCCAGGUUUUUCGCCUGGAUGAUUGAGUGUCAUUCAUUAAAAUGAAACACAGCCGGAUGGAGGCACAAUUUAGGGGAGAGAAGAAGUUGUCUGUCACAUUUAACCUAUGAGGUUUAAGGUGACUUGGGACAUCCAGACGGAGAUAUCAACGAGGCAUCUGGCCUGGAGUUCUAGCCAGUAUCGUUUACAGUGUCCUGUCUACUCUGUUCCCUGAAAGGGGGUCUAAGUCUUAUUGCUCUUUGC